GCCCCAAAGAUCAGCGGUAGACCAGCCUCUCUUGUUAUACUUGCAGAGGAGUGAGCUGAGCGGAUGCAGGUUCAACUCCUGCUUGGGGCA
This is a non-coding RNA of Mycena albidolilacea, 90 nucleotides long. NCBI's taxonomy places the organism in Eukaryota, Fungi, Basidiomycota, Agaricomycetes, Agaricales, Mycenaceae. The record is from the annotation of a GenBank genome assembly.